RNAcentral lists this ribosomal RNA (587 nucleotides) under uncultured bacterium. RNAcentral describes it as "partial 16S ribosomal RNA". It matches the Rfam family "Bacterial small subunit ribosomal RNA", at positions 355 to 1375 of the family's 1533-position model. The record is from RNAcentral.
UGGGGAAUAUUGCACAAUGGGCGAAAGCCUGAUCCAGCAAUGCCGCGUGUGUGAAGAAGGCCUUCGGGUUGUAAAGCACUUUUGUCCGGAAAGAAAUCCUUGGCUCUAAUACAGUCGGGGGAUGACGGUACCGGAAGAAUAAGCACCGGCUAACUACGUGCCAGCAGCCGCGGUAAUACGUAGGGUGCAAGCGUUAAUCGGAAUUACUGGGCGUAAAGCGUGCGCAGGCGGUUUGCUAAGACCGAUGUGAAAUCCCCGGGCUCAACCUGGGAACUGCAUUGGUGACUGGCAGGCUAGAGUAUGGCAGAGGGGGGUAGAAUUCCACGUGUAGCAGUGAAACGCGUAGAGAUGUGGAGGAAUACCGAUGGCGAAGGCAGCCCCCUGGGCCAAUACUGACGCUCAUGCACGAAAAGCGUGGGGAGCAAAACAGGAUUAGAUACCCUGGUAGUCCACGCCCUAAACGAUGUCAACUAGUUGUUGGGGAUUCAUUUCCUUAGUAACGUAGCUAACGCGUGAAGUUGACCGCCUGGGGAGUACGGUCGCAAGAUUAAAACUCAAAUGAAUUGACGGGGUCAUAGCUGUUUCCU